UACGUAGGUGGCAAGCGUUAUCAGGAUUUACUGGGUGUAAAGGGCGUGUAGGCGGGUUUCCAAGUCGGAUGUGAAAAGGCAAGGCUCAACUUUGCUCGGUCAUCAGAAACUGGAGAUCUUGAGUGUCUGAGGGGAAAGCGGAAUUCCUGGUGGAGCGGUAAAAUGCGUAGAGAUCAGGAGGAACACCGGCGGCGAAGGCGGCUUUCUGGCAGACAACUGACGCUGAGGCGCGAAAGCGUGGGGAGCAAACAGGAUUAGAUACCCGGGGUAGUCCCU
Molecule: ribosomal RNA, 276 nt
Filed under: uncultured prokaryote
Description: partial 16S ribosomal RNA
Rfam family: Bacterial small subunit ribosomal RNA
Source: RNAcentral